CUCACUAUCCUUUAUGAAAACUCCUCAAAUUGUCUUCUAAGUGUUUGCAAUUUAAUGAAUUGAACCUUGGCAACCCCCUUCUAGACCAUUUGUAGUGCAUUCCAUACAUCUUGUGACUUUGCUGCAGCUGUUAUUCGUGAAAAUAUGUUGUCGUCAACAGCUUGUUGAAUAAAAAUUAGAGCUUUGGCAUCUUUUUUCUUAGAUUCUUUAAGAGUUUUAACUGAAAUACCUACU
RNAcentral lists this long non-coding RNA (234 nucleotides) under Carica papaya (papaya). Its description in RNAcentral is "long non-coding RNA (CPAP_LNC012678)". Lineage: Eukaryota; Viridiplantae; Streptophyta; Magnoliopsida; Brassicales; Caricaceae. The record is from RNAcentral.